RNAcentral lists this ribosomal RNA (458 nucleotides) under uncultured Actinomycetes bacterium. RNAcentral's name for it is "bacterial SSU rRNA". It matches the Rfam family "Bacterial small subunit ribosomal RNA", at positions 969 to 1430 of the family's 1533-position model. The record is from RNAcentral. Lineage: Bacteria; Bacillati; Actinomycetota; Actinomycetes.
CCUUACCAAGGCUUGACAUAUAGGGAAAAGUGGCAGAGAUGUCAUGUCCGCAAGGGCUCUAUACAGGUGGUGCAUGGUUGUCGUCAGCUCGUGUCGUGAGAUGUUGGGUUAAGUCCCGCAACGAGCGCAACCCUCGUUCUGUGUUGCCAGCAUUUAGUUGGGGACUCACAGGAGACUGCCGGGGUUAACUCGGAGGAAGGUGGGGAUGACGUCAAAUCAUCAUGCCCCUUAUGUCUUGGGCUGCACGCAUGCUACAAUGGCCGGUACAGAGGGCUGCAAUACCGUAAGGUGGAGCGAAUCCCAAAAAGCCGGUCUCAGUUCGGAUUGAGGUCUGCAACUCGACCUCAUGAAGUUGGAGUUGCUAGUAAUCGUAGAUCAGCAACGCUACGGUGAAUACGUUCCCGGGGCUUGUACACACAGCCCGUCACGUCACGAAAGUCGGUAACACCCAAAGUCAG